This 1905-nucleotide long non-coding RNA is filed under the name Oreochromis niloticus (Nile tilapia). RNAcentral describes it as "lncRNA (ENSONIG00000029194.1)". Lineage: Eukaryota; Metazoa; Chordata; Actinopteri; Cichliformes; Cichlidae. The record is from RNAcentral.
AUGCUUUUUAAAAACAAACAAACAACCCCCCCAACAAAGCUUAAAAAUACACAUUUGGACUCUGUAAAGAAGACCGACAUGGACAUGUAUACGAACCGCAGAGGGAAAGUGGUCCUUCUGGAAGAAGAUCACUGGACGUCAGUAACUCCAAAUCAGUUCCUCGGCGCAUUUGCGCCAUUUCCGCGUUUCGCCUGGAUUCAUCCAAACGCACCGAGGGACAGCUAUGAUGUGGUGUGCGAAAUCGUCUGGAGCAAAGCUACCCAGGUGAAACCUGGAAGAGGUCAAAGUUCACUGGAAAUCCAAGGGAGUAAAGACGACACUCCCUCAGUCAACAAGUCAAGUCACAGGGCUGAGAAGCAGCAGGAAGACACAGAUGAUUACACGCACUAUGAGGAGGACAAGAAGCAAUACCACACUGACUUCACCCUUCCUUGCCCUUAUCUCUUGGGCCGCAGACAUCACGGCCUAUCCAAGCCCGCAAGGGUGCUGAGCCCUGUGCUGGAAGUGGAGAUGAGGCAAAUUAAGGAAGAGGCGGGUGGAAACAGAAACUCGUCCUGUCGGGAGAGGGAUGUGCAAGACAAACAAAGGAGUGUUGAAAACUCUCUUCAGAAGAUGCAGGUCUCUCAAUCCAGCAGAGCAGGCACACAGAGCUCUGUACCUGCACCUCAACAUCUGGUGACAAAUCCUGUCUGCUUUGAAGGCCACACCCAACACCUGCCAGACAGAGAAGAUUCUCUACACCCUUUUAAACUACCCGGGGAUGAAUGUGGAAGCGAGAAAGAGCAGAAUGCAAGUAGGGGCUCAGAAAGCUACUCUAGUGAUGAUAGUGAUGCUGUUAGUCUACCUGGGGUGCGAAGUUGUGCCAAUGACAACAGCAAUAAUGACUCAGUGGUUAGUGCAAAAGAGGUGAAGAAAAAGGAAAUUCCAAGCUCGUCUGUUGAGCUGAGCUGCGACAAUGAGCAGGAUUCCUUUUUUACAGCUGAUGAAGACUUUCCUGCUCUCACCACCAUCAACGCUGGCAUCCCGCUAUCUCUCACAGGGCCGCCAGCCUUGGGGAAGAUAAAAGGCCAGUGGGAGAUUCCCCUUUCAUUCCACCCACAUGACAUACCCACUGUCACUUUGGCAAGUGGCGUGAAUGACCCUGUGCAGGCUUCCAUCCAAGGCAAACCAGAAGCACCUGAGGCAAACUCAAAAACCAAAGCACCACCAGCAGUCCCAGUGCAGAACGAGGCUUAUGACCUCUUGGCCGACUUCCCAGCCCUCCAGCCCCCAAAGAACCCUUUAGCGCUUGGUGAAUUGCGUCACAGGAAUCCCAAGACCAACGUUUCAAAGGGGAAAGGAGUUCUCACUCCUGCUCCAAGCCACUGCCAAAGCUCUAGGGGUUCCCAUGAGAGGAGAUUGGAAAAUUCGCCCCACGAGGUCUCCUCCAUCUGUGCAGGAGAUCAGAAAUCUGCUCUGGACCUUCAAACAUUUGGCACGGUCAGCCAUCGCAACUCUUCCACCAUCAGCUGUGAGCAACGGAAGGCCAACAAGCAGCCGCCGCCUAGAGUUGCAGGUGCAGAUGGCGUGGGUGUCAGUGCCAGGUCCUGGGCUAACGCUGCCAAGGCAGGCAUGAAGCAAGCAGCUGCCCCUCAGGAGAAAGCCAGACCUUGUACCUUUCAGCAGAUAGUUACCAUUAACAAAGCCAAAGCUGAAUAUGGUGUCACUCAAAAAAUCAACAAGAAAGCAACAGUUUUCCACCCAGGAUCAAAUCAGAAGGCGAUAACCUUGAAACAGUGCUGAUUUCACCCCUGCAACCAAAUCCACUUAGUUUGCAACCCUCCUGGCUAUCAGCAUUUUGGAGCCCAGCCGCAUCAAGCCAACUAUCCUCCAGGAUUCAGCUGUCCCCGUUUUCCUUUCCAACAG